Molecule: ribosomal RNA, 537 nt
Filed under: uncultured bacterium
Lineage: Bacteria
Description: bacterial SSU rRNA
Rfam family: Bacterial small subunit ribosomal RNA
Source: RNAcentral
ACGGGUGAGUAACGCGUGGGAAUCUACCUUUUGCUACGGAAUAACUCAGGGAAACUUGUGCUAAUACCGUAUGUGCCCUUCGGGGGAAAGAUUUAUCGGCAAGAGAUGAGCCCGCGUUGGAUUAGCUAGUUGGUGGGGUAAAGGCCUACCAAGGCGACGAUCCAUAGCUGGUCUGAGAGGAUGAUCAGCCACACUGGGACUGAGACACGGCCCAGACUCCUACGGGAGGCAGCAGUGGGGAAUAUUGGACAAUGGGCGCAAGCCUGAUCCAGCCAUGCCGCGUGAGUGAUGACGGUCUUAGGAUUGUAAAGCUCUUUCACCGGUGAAGAUAAUGACGGUAACCGGAGAAGAAGCCCCGGCUAACUUCGUGCCAGCAGCCGCGGUUAUACGAAGGGGGCUAGCGUUGUUCGGAUUUACUGGGCGUAAAGCGCACGUAGGCGGACUUUUAAGUCAGGGGUGAAAUCCCAGAGCUCAACUCUGGAACUGCCUUUGAUACUGGAAGUCUUGAGUAUGGUAGAGGUGAGUGGAAUUCCGAGU